CAACAAACUGUCGAUAUCAACGAGCGGUUCGCUCCACUGGAGCGUUCGGGACUCUGCGGGUUUCUGUCCAUAGAGGAGAGGAACCGACUCAAAGAAGAGGAGACGGGCGCACAAUCCCACGAUAGCGGAAGAGGUGCGCCGUCUUCACAACUCCGAGACGAACUACAGGCGCUACGAACCGGAGCAAGGGUCAGAUUUAAAGAAGAUGCUUUCAUUCUGCGCUAUAAGGGAAUAUAUACGUAUGGAUACCGAUCAUAACUGUACAUUUUGUUUUCACAGACUAAUCUCGCCUCAUAAUGAGGCGGUGACCUCGUAUUUGCUCCGGGAAAAGUCCAGAUUUAGACGACGUCAUUGUGUGUAAGUGACACUGUUUCUCCUUCCUUGUUAAAUGUUACUGUGACUUGCGUUUGAUUUUCUUUUUGUAUUCAUACCACACUCAUUUAAUUGUUUUCCAGCCGCCUGUGAGACGUAUUUUGAGACGGGACGCAGGAGCUUCAGGUUCAG
Molecule: long non-coding RNA, 504 nt
Organism: Gasterosteus aculeatus aculeatus (three-spined stickleback)
Lineage: Eukaryota; Metazoa; Chordata; Actinopteri; Perciformes; Gasterosteidae
Source: Ensembl